Molecule: long non-coding RNA, 2565 nt
Organism: Manis pentadactyla (Chinese pangolin)
Lineage: Eukaryota; Metazoa; Chordata; Mammalia; Pholidota; Manidae
Exons: 3
Source: RefSeq, a predicted model, not a curated record
GCCCUAACAGAGGCUGAGUUUAGGGAGAGCUGUCUACCCAUCUCUCCCUGCCGUGUUUCUGCUUCCACCAGCUUUUGCUAAGUUUCCCCAUUUUACACUGGCUUGACAACUGCUUUUCCACCAACCUAUGGUCUUCUGGAGCCCUUUAGAGCCUUUUCUGCACUUCUGAUCACCCUGUACUCAUGAGUUACGGAACUGAGCUCUUGGGAACAGCUUCCACACCAGGGUUUCUAGGUUUCUGACUCACAAAAUGUCAAAAGAAUGGCUCUGGGGUAUGAGAAACAGACAGUGCAUCUGGGGGUGGAUGCUGCACAGAAGCUCUAAUGUUUCCCUGGAGAAACAAACUACCCAGCUCCUGGUUGUAAUGGUAUACUGGGAGUGGCUGUGCAGACGCGCAUAGACAACUAAGUGGAAGGCAGGUACUGGACAGAGACAUACUGCUUGUUUGUUCUAAAGAAGGUCUGAGCAAAGCAUUGUAGAUAGAUCCCUUGGGACAGUUGGUGUUGCCCAAGAACAGAAUAAGGCCUGGCUGGGAAUGGGAGGGAGGCCAGGGUGAUGAUGUCAUUCAUUAACUCUCAAUCUUGUAACUCAGCAGUGGAAGUUCUUCCUACUCACUAGGGUUGUGAGCAGCCCUAGUUUUACUAAGUGGGCAACAAUGAACUUGUUCAUAAUGCAGCUUUGUAAGCAGUCAGUCUCUUCCCAGGCAAAGCCCAUUCUGGAAAGCCAUCAACUUUAUUACUUUGUAUGCACACACAGGACACAUACAGCCAUGCACACAGGGAACAGGAAUAAGCACAGAUACAUGGAAGACAGACACAUCCAGACAGAUGGACAUGGACACCCAGGCAGUUGAAAUGUACACACACAAACACACACACACACACACACACACACACACACACACAGGGGCAUAGGCAUACAGACACACUAAAGCUAAAGAAUAUUAAGUGCUAGAGAAAAUCUUAAAAGUCUUUUAAGAAAUUUAUAACUCCCUUACUUUACAGAGGAGGAAACUGUAGCUGAGAGAAGGGAAGAGACUAGCUUAAAACACAUGACUUAUUUUUUCUUUCCUUCUAGGUCCCGAACUCGGACCCUUGCCCAUGAGCUCAGCAGGACUAUGUACCUUCUUGGGUCUGGCUCCCUGCCCUGUGGUGUAGGGGAUUAAACCUGAGCAAAGAGCUGGGGUGACCACUUUGUGCGGUUCCCUUCUGUGGAUGGUUGUAUUUCCCUAAAUGACCACAACAAUCUCUCUCCCAUUCCCAUGCUCCACUACAGUGUGACCUCAGCACUGCUCCCCACCCGCUGUGGUGUCUACAUGCUCUGCCCCUGACCUGAGGCUGGUGACUGCUCCAGCCAAUGGAGUACAGCACAACUGAUGUAAUGCAAUUUCCUAAUCCAGGUCAGAAAAAGGAUGCAACUUCAUCUCCUUCUUUCACUCUCUCCUCUGCCCCACCUUGAACUCUCAUCCCAGAGAUCCAGCCACCAUGUUCUGAGGCAGCCCAAACCAGCUCACAUGGAGACCAUGUGGAUUGGCCCCCAUAGAGAAGAACUGAAGCCCCCAGCUGACAGCCAGCAUCAACUGCCAGAUAGUGACCACUGUUUCAGGCACUGUGUGAGGCACGGAGGGGUCAGAGAUGAACUACACAACCCAACUAGAAAAUAUUUCAGCUUCUAAUCAGGAUGCCUACUGGCUGACUCUAGCUGGAAGUUACAGCUUGAAGGAAUCCCUGAAACUGAAAUGCCGCCUGAAAGGGGUCAGCUCCCCAUGUGAGGACCUGAGGAAUGGAUUGGGGGCAAACAGGCCCAGUACUAAGACCUUUCUAGACACACUGUGCUAAAGCUAUGUGUAAAAUGUACCUGCUGUCUUGCCUAAAUAUGCAGAGUGAGACCAGGAUAGCGGAGGUAGAGGGAGCUGGAUCUUGUAGUAUAAAGAAUGACUGGAUAAAGAUAAAAGAUCUUAAGAUAAUCAUUGCAGGUAAUCAUUCCCGGGAAAAAGCCUGGAAGGCAGGAGGGCACAGGACUCAAUCACAGGAAGCACCUUUGGAAAGAAGCUCCAGAGCAAUGCACACUAGGAGGAAUUCUCUUGUUUCAAGUUUGAGAGAUGCUCUAAAAAGAACACUAGACUUGGACCAAGGGCCUGGGAGUGAACUUGGCUUCUGCCCCUAAUUGGCUGUGUGGACCUGGUAAAGAAUUUUGCCUCCCCAAGCUUCAGUGUUCUCAUCUACAAAAUGUGGAUAACAACAAUACCUAUUUCACAGGGCUGUCCAGAAGAUUAAAAGAGAUAUGGAUAUAAAUAAGCUAAAUGCCACUCCUCUGAUGAGAUUCUUCAGAUGUUCCCUGUUGUUUUUUCACUUAAUAUUCAAAUUCCUCCACAAGGCAUAUGAAGCUCUUCAAGAGGAACAAGAUAGGGCUUCUGCCUACUUCUUUCACUCCAUUCCUCACCACUCCUGACCCUUGCAGGUCCACAGACCAGCCAGACUGAACCACUUGCAGUUCCCAGAAAUAUGCUCUCCUCUAGUCUUUGCAAAUAUAACCUAUUCUGCCUAGAGCAGUGUGUUCCUGAUC